RNAcentral lists this ribosomal RNA (443 nucleotides) under uncultured bacterium. Its description in RNAcentral is "partial 16S ribosomal RNA". It matches the Rfam family "Bacterial small subunit ribosomal RNA", at positions 338 to 795 of the family's 1533-position model. The record is from RNAcentral.
CCUACGGGCGGCAGCAGUGGGGAAUAUUGGGCAAUGGAGGCAACUCUGACCCAGCAACGCCGCGUGAAUGAUGAAGGUCUUCGGAUUGUAAAGUUCUGUGAUGGGGGAUGAACACAAUGACGGUACCCCAAUAGCAAGCCACGGCUAACUACGUGCCAGCAGCCGCGGUAAUACGUAGGUGGCAAGCGUUAUCCGGAAUGACUGGGCGUAAAGGGUGCGGAGGUGGUUUAGUAAGUUGGCGGUGUAAUUCCGGGGCUCAACCUCGGCGCUACAGUCAAAACGAUUAGUCUUGAGUACAGGAGAGGUAAGUGGAAUUCCUAGUGUAGCGGUGGAAUGCGUAGAUAUAAGGAGGAACAUCAGGGGCGAAGGCGAAUGACUGGACUGUAACUGACGCUGAGGCACGAAAGCGUGGGGAGCAAACAGGAUUAGAUACCCUAGUAGUC